Osmia lignaria (orchard mason bee) is the source of this 392-nucleotide non-coding RNA. NCBI's taxonomy places the organism in Eukaryota, Metazoa, Arthropoda, Insecta, Hymenoptera, Megachilidae. The record is from RefSeq and is a predicted model, not a curated record.
UAAAGGUGUUAAAAUAUCUACAAACAGUUCUUUUUCUAUAUUAAAAAGGCGAUUCAAAUAUCGCGAACUUGCCAGGCCCCUCGAAAUAGGAGAGGGUCCCCGCAAGCAUCAUCGGAGGUCUGCAAAACUUACUUGAAAUGAAUUUUUACCCCGAAAACUGCGAAGUUCUUUGCGGAUGGAAUUAUGAAACUAUUUAGGAGGUAGCAACAAAUAGUUGACAACACUAAUGCACACUUUGAAAAAUAAGAACGUAUAGAUUUCACGUCGGACCAGGCUAAUCCAUUAUACUGUAAGCGAUCUCACGAAUGAAAAAUCGUAAAUACAUACAAGCGAGUGGGCAAGCGUCUGUUGGAAAGAUAGAGGAGCCGUCGUCGAAGGAUGAACGAUAGCCG